ACCGGGAUUGCCUUAGUAACGGCGAGUGAAGCGGCAAAAGCUCAAAUUUGAAAUCUGGUACCUUCGGUGCCCGAGUUGUAAUUUGGAGAGGGCAACUUUGGGGCCGUUCCUUGUCUAUGUUCCUUGGAACAGGACGUCAUAGAGGGUGAGAAUCCCGUGUGGCGAGGAGUGCGGUUCUUUGUAAAGUGCCUUCGAAGAGUCGAGUUGUUUGGGAAUGCAGCUCUAAGUGGGUGGUAAAUUCCAUCUAAAGCUAAAUAUUGGCGAGAGACCGAUAGCGAACAAGUACAGUGAUGGAAAGAUGAAAAGAACUUUGAAAAGAGAGUGAAAAAGUACGUGAAAUUGUUGAAAGGGAAGGGCAUUUGAUCAGACAUGGUGUUUUGUGCCCUCUGCUCCUUGUGGGUAGGGGAAUCUCGCAUUUCACUGGGCCAGCAUCAGUUUUGGUGGCAGGAUAAAUCCAUAGGAAUGUAGCUUGCCUCGGUAAGUAUUAUAGCCUGUGGGAAUACUGCCAGCUGGGACUGAGGACUGCGACGUAAGUCAAGGAUGCUGGCAUAAUGGUUAUAUGCCGCCCGUCUUGAAACACGGACCUCCUGUGUGAAGUGAUCCGCUA
RNAcentral lists this ribosomal RNA (607 nucleotides) under Saccharomyces cerevisiae (brewer's yeast). RNAcentral describes it as "eukaryotic LSU rRNA". It matches the Rfam family "Eukaryotic large subunit ribosomal RNA", at positions 68 to 664 of the family's 3401-position model. Lineage: Eukaryota; Fungi; Ascomycota; Saccharomycetes; Saccharomycetales; Saccharomycetaceae. The record is from RNAcentral.